UUAAAACUUAAAUUAUUGUAAAAAUAAAGGAUUAAUAGUUAUGUUCUUUAAAUUUAAAAAAGUUGGCGGUAUUUUAUCUAAUUAGGGGAAUUUGUUUUUUAAAUGAUGAUCCGCGAGAAAUCUUACUUUUUUUAAUUAGUUUAUGUAUUUCCGUUAUCAGAAUAUUUUUUAAAAAUUUAUUUUUAAAUAUUCUUAAUUUAUUAAUUUAAUUUAUUUCAGGUCAAAGUGUAGCUUAUAAAAAAGUUAAAAUGAAUUACAAUAAAAUUAUUUAUUAUGAAUUUUAAAUUGAAAAAUUUAAAUGAAGGUGGACUUAAUAGUAAAAUUAUAUAUUUUAAUAUUUUGAAUAUAGGUCUAAAAUAUGU
This 362-nucleotide ribosomal RNA is filed under the name Phylacteophaga froggatti. RNAcentral describes it as "partial 12S ribosomal RNA". The record is from RNAcentral. Lineage: Eukaryota; Metazoa; Arthropoda; Insecta; Hymenoptera; Pergidae.